RNAcentral lists this long non-coding RNA (1881 nucleotides) under Sus scrofa (pig). RNAcentral describes it as "lncRNA (ENSSSCG00000044385.1)". Lineage: Eukaryota; Metazoa; Chordata; Mammalia; Artiodactyla; Suidae. The record is from RNAcentral.
CGCCUACUGUGUGCCCUGCGCCGGGCUCGGAGCCCAACGAGGACCCAGAUAGCUACGAGCUACCCUCCCCAAGCGCUCAGGCCGAGGCGGCUUAUAUUCUGGUCGCUUAAUACCUUCAGUUUCCCCGGUUCCCUGAAAAGCUAGGCGCAUACCCCACGAAGCUGCUCAAUACAUGUGUGUUGAAUAAAUAAGUGAUUGAGAGCUAUGUGUUUUUAAGCUUUAGAUCUGAUCCUAGUUUCUCGGCGGCACUACUGUUAUUUACGAGACCACGGAGGUAAAGGGCCCUGACUCAAACCCGGGAGCUCCUGGUUCCCAUCCUGCCACUUGUUUACUGUGUGACCUUGGGCAAAUGACUUCACCUCUCCGCUCCUCCAUUUCCAAGAAGAAAUCAAUACUAGGUCUCACUUAGAGGGUUAGUAGGAGAAAAUGACUUCUCUCGGAGAGCGGAACCUGACAGGAAGCGCCAGAUAAGUGCAGACCGUUAUUAUUAUUGAUUAUUAUAUAAAAAGGGAACCUGAUCAACUCCAGAACUUAACACACGCAUUGCUCCAAACAGAAAACAGUGGUCAAUCUAUGACUAACGUGGUGGUCAUCCGCCACCCACUGAGAUAGGGGACCCUUAGGGAACAGCCAUAUACACAGACAUUAUUUUGGAGCAGCUUUAUUAUUUGUUGGCUAAGAUUGACACUCAGUUACACAGCUUGAAUCCUGUCUCGAUGGCUUUUUUCCAGUCUUCACCAGGAAGAGACCCUCAGUCACCUCUAUCUAGAGACCUUUAGUUAGUCCCAUCUUACGGGCGUAGAAAACUAAACUGGCCCAAAGAGGGAAAGUGUUUUGCCCAAGCUCCCACAAGCAGGAAGUGAGACCUGAUCUGAGCCAGGUGCCACUCCUGGCUCUCAGAGCUGCUGACCCUGGGGAACCUCAGAACUUGGGAACUGACUGGGGUUCCAAGUUAGCAGAUUUGAGGCGCUGCAGGGGAUGACUGUCCAAGUUCACUCAUCCAGGAAGUAUUGUUGAUGAGUAUCUAGUGUGGGUGGGGAAUAUAGUGUCACCCUGGUUCCUGCCCCAUCGAUACCCCUACCCCACCCCCACCCCCAGCCACUGUCUAUUAGGGGAUACAGACAAUGAGAAAAUAAGCAAAUAGGUCUCUUAGCCUGUUUCCCUGGCCCUCAGUGGCAGAGUUGCCAUGAGCUAAAUUGUAGGUUGCAGAUGUUCAGAUCCCAUUGUGGCUGUGGCUGUGGCUGUGGUGUAGGCCAGCAGCUGCAGUUCUGAUUUGCCCCCUAGCCUGGGAGCCUAGGAACUUACAUAUGCCGUGGGUUCAGCCCUAAAAAGCAAAAAAAAAAAAAAGAAAGAAAAGUUCUGCUAAACAAUGAGAUAAUGCCCACACAAACAGGCAUUCUCCAUCUCUUAGGAAGAUGGUCUGAAGACCAGGAGGCUUGUAUUGUGCCUGGGUGUGAAAGAAGCCCCCAAUCUGGCCAUGGCUGGCAAAGCCCUGGGAGGUCAAACAUCCAAGGCCAGAGGAGAGGUCGACAUGGUCCCCAAAUUUUAAGAGACCUGCUCUUCUUGGGGGGGGGCAACCCUUCCCUUUGAGAAUCAGAUGCAAGACGUGAGUUCUAGGUUAGGAGUAGAGGUGAUGGUGAAACCCUAAGUGAUUCAGCAACUUGCCCCAGGGAUACCAAGCCAGGGUAGGGACUAAUGCAGUCACCCAUGUUCACUCACUUUGUCCCUUAGUCACCAGCAAACCUGGGCAAAGUCCCGUCUCCAGCUCCUUCAUGCAGUGGGACUGUAGACUCAGACACCAAAAUCCACCCCCGAUAUUUUAUUUUCUUAUUUACUUACUUAUUUUUCCCUCCCAAUAUUUUAUUACGAACAUUUUCAAAU